Molecule: ribosomal RNA, 466 nt
Filed under: Vreelandella stevensii
Lineage: Bacteria; Pseudomonadati; Pseudomonadota; Gammaproteobacteria; Oceanospirillales; Halomonadaceae
Description: partial 16S ribosomal RNA
Rfam family: Bacterial small subunit ribosomal RNA
Source: RNAcentral
CCUACGGGAGGGUUGCAGUGGGGAAUAUUGGACAAUGGGCGAAAGCCUGAUCCAGCCAUGCCGCGUGUGUGAAGAAGGCCUUCGGGUUGUAAAGCACUUUCAGUGGGGAAGAAAGCCUUGGGGCUAAUACCCUCGAGGAAGGACAUCACCCACAGAAGAAGCACCGGCUAACUCCGUGCCAGCAGCCGCGGUAAUACGGAGGGUGCGAGCGUUAAUCGGAAUUACUGGGCGUAAAGCGCGCGUAGGCGGUCUGAUAAGCCGGUUGUGAAAGCCCCGGGCUCAACCUGGGAACGGCAUCCGGAACUGUCAGGCUAGAGUGCAGGAGAGGAAGGUAGAAUUCCCGGUGUAGCGGUGAAAUGCGUAGAGAUCGGGAGGAAUACCAGUGGCGAAGGCGGCCUUCUGGACUGACACUGACGCUGAGGUGCGAAAGCGUGGGUAGCAAACAGGAUUAGAUACCCGAGUAGUC